RNAcentral lists this ribosomal RNA (489 nucleotides) under uncultured bacterium. RNAcentral describes it as "bacterial SSU rRNA". It matches the Rfam family "Bacterial small subunit ribosomal RNA", at positions 28 to 533 of the family's 1533-position model. The record is from RNAcentral.
GACGAACGCUGGCGGCGUGCCUAACACAUGCAAGUCGAGCGGGGAGAGCCUUCGGGCUUUUCCAGCGGCGGACGGGUGAGUAACGCGUGAGCAACCUUUCCUUCACAGGGGGAUAACGCAGCGAAAGCUGUGCUAAUACCGCAUAAGACCACAGGGUCACAUGAUCAAGGGGUCAAAGGAGGAAUCCGGUGAAGGGUGGGCUCGCGUCUGAUUAGCUAGUUGGCGGGGUAACGGCCCACCAAGGUGACGAUCAGUAGCCGACCUGAGAGGGUGAUCGGCCACACUGGGACUGAGACACGGCCCAGACUCCUACGGGAGGCAGCAGUGGGGAAUAUUGGGCAAUGGGCGAAAGCCUGACCCAGCAACGCCGCGUGAGGGAAGAAGGUUUUCGGAUCGUAAACCUCUGUCCUUGGGGACGAAAGAAAUGACGGUACCCAAGGAGGAAGCCCCGGCUAACUACGUGCCAGCAGCCGCGGUAAAACGUGCGUG